UGCCCUCGUGAAUUUAUCAUCCAUACCGAUCAUGAAACACUCAAGUACCUAAAGGGUCAAACUAAGUUGAACAAGCGUCAUGCUAAGUGGAGUGAAUUCAUUGAGUCAUUUCCUUAUGUCAUCAAGUACAUCAAAGGUAAAGAAAAUGUUAUGGCGGAUGCUCUUUCCCGCGUAUGCAUGCUUGUCGCAAAACUUGAAUUGAAUGCCAUUGGUUUUGAGCACAUUAAAGACUUGUAUGCGCAUGAUCCUACUUUUGCUAUUCCUUAUGCAAAGUGUUUGACGCAUACAUCUUGGGAACGCUAUUACAUCAAAGAUGAUUAUCUUAUGAGAGUUAACAAACUUUGCAUCCCUGAAUCUUCUCUUUGUUUGUUACUUUUGCAAGAAUCUCAUGGAGGACUAAUGGGACACUUUGGAUGUGACAAGACAUUCGCUACUCUCUCCAAGAACUAUUUUUGGCCCAAGAUGUUCCGUGACGUCUCACGCUUCACCAACCGAUGUUCGACAUGUCGCAAAGCUAAGUCAAAUGCUCAAUCCUAUGGUCUUUACAUGACACUUCCUAUUCCAUAUCAACCUUGGGGAGACAUUAGCAUGGACUUUGUACUUGGUUUGCCUAGAACUCAAAAUGUAAAGGAUUCUGUGUUUGUUGUUGUGGACCAAUUCUCUAAGAAGGCUCAUUUUAUCCCAUGCAACAAGAUAGAUGAUGCUUCACAUAUUGCAAAUCCUUUUUGUAGGGAAUUCUUGCGCCUCCAUGGAGUGCCAAAGGCGGUUGUCUCGAACCGCGAUGUCAAGUUCUUGAGUUACUUUUGGAAGACUCUAUGCGCCAAGCUCAGAAUCAAGCUCUUGUUCUCUUCGGCAUACCAUCCUCAAACCGACUGCCAAACGGAGGUGACAAACCGAACACUCUCCACUCUACUACGCAUGUUGAUCAAGAGGAACAUCAAGGAGUGGGAGGAGUGCCUACCCAUCGCUGAGUAUGCCUACAACUGUGCAAGACAUUCGACUACCGGCAAGUCCCCCUUCGAGGUCAUCUACGGUUUCAACCCGUUGUCCCCAUUGGACAUUCUUCCUCUUCCACUACAAGAGUGCAUCAAUAUGGACGCGAGUGCACGAGCAAGCUACCUCAAGAAGAUGCAUGAAGAUACAAGGCACACCAUCAAGCGCCAAGUGCAACGACUCGCGACUAAGCUCAACAUCAACAAGCAACCCAUGAUAUUGAACAUUGGAGAUCUUGUGUGGCUACACCUUCGCAAGGAACGCUUCCCCAAUGAAAGCAAGUCCAAACUUCUACCCCAAGCUGAUGGACCCUUCAAGGUGCUAGCAUGCUACAACAACAACAACGCUUACAAGAUCGACCUCCUGUGCAACAAGUACAACGUGAGUGACAUCUUCAACAUCAAAGAUCUA
Molecule: ribosomal RNA, 1404 nt
Filed under: Triticum aestivum (bread wheat)
Lineage: Eukaryota; Viridiplantae; Streptophyta; Magnoliopsida; Poales; Poaceae
Description: partial small subunit ribosomal RNA
Source: RNAcentral